AGAGGGGGCAAGCGUUAUUCGGAAUUAUUGGGCGUAAAGGGCGCGUAGGCGGUUUUUUAAGUCAGAUGUGUAAUCCCCGAGCUUAACUUGGGAACUGCAUCUGAGACUGGAAGGCUAGAGUACUGGAGAGGGUGGUGGAAUUCCUCGUGUAGCGGUGAAAUGCGUUGAGAUGAGGAGGAACACCAGUGGCGAAGGCGGCCACCUGGACAGUAACUGACGCUGAGGCGCGAAAGUGUGGGUAGCAAACAGGAUUAGAUACCCUGGUAGUCCACGCUGUAAACGAUGAACACUUGGUGUGGAGGGAGUUGACCCCUUCCGUGCCGGAGCUAACGCGUUAAGUGUUCCGCCUGGGGAGUACGGUCGCAAGGCUG
RNAcentral lists this ribosomal RNA (371 nucleotides) under uncultured bacterium. Its description in RNAcentral is "bacterial SSU rRNA". It matches the Rfam family "Bacterial small subunit ribosomal RNA", at positions 527 to 896 of the family's 1533-position model. The record is from RNAcentral.